RNAcentral lists this ribosomal RNA (482 nucleotides) under Enterococcus avium. RNAcentral's name for it is "bacterial SSU rRNA". It matches the Rfam family "Bacterial small subunit ribosomal RNA", at positions 1 to 463 of the family's 1533-position model. Lineage: Bacteria; Bacillati; Bacillota; Bacilli; Lactobacillales; Enterococcaceae. The record is from RNAcentral.
UUUUAUGAGAGUUUGAUCCUGGCUCAGGACGAACGCUGGCGGCGUGCCUAAUACAUGCAAGUCGAACGCUUUUUCUUUCACCGGAGCUUGCUCCACCGAAAGAAAAGGAGUGGCGAACGGGUGAGUAACACGUGGGUAACCUGCCCAUCAGAAGGGGAUAACACUUGGAAACAGGUGCUAAUACCGUAUAACAAUCGAAACCGCAUGGUUUCGGUUUGAAAGGCGCUUUUGCGUCACUGAUGGAUGGACCCGCGGUGCAUUAGCUAGUUGGUGAGGUAACGGCUCACCAAGGCAACGAUGCAUAGCCGACCUGAGAGGGUGAUCGGCCACAUUGGGACUGAGACACGGCCCAAACUCCUACGGGAGGCAGCAGUAGGGAAUCUUCGGCAAUGGACGCAAGUCUGACCGAGCAACGCCGCGUGAGUGAAGAAGGUUUUCGGAUCGUAAAACUCUGUUGUUAGAGAAGAACAAGGAUGAGAGUA